Molecule: ribosomal RNA, 194 nt
Filed under: uncultured bacterium
Lineage: Bacteria
Description: partial 16S ribosomal RNA
Rfam family: Bacterial small subunit ribosomal RNA
Source: RNAcentral
CCUACGGGAGGCAGCAGUGGGAAAUUUUGGACAAUGGGCGCAAGCCUGAUCCAGCAAUGCCGCGUGAGUGAAGAAGGCCUUCGGGUUGUAAAGCUCUUUUGUCAGGGAAGAAACGGUCUUGGAUAAUACCUGGGGCUAAUGACGGUACCUGAAGAAUAAGCACCGGCUAACUACGUGCCAGCAGCCGCGGUAAU